UAGGGAAUCUUCCGCAAUGGGCGAAAGCCUGACGGAGCAACGCCGCGCGAGUGAUGAAGGUCUUCGGAUCGUAAAACUCUGUUAUUAGGGAAGAACAAAUGUGUAAGUAACUAUGCACGUCUUGACGGUACCUAAUCAGAAAGCCACGGCUAACUACGUGCCAGCAGCCGCGGUAAUACGUAGGUGGCAAGCGUUAUCCGGAAUUAUUGGGCGUAAAGCGCGCGUAGGCGGUUUUUUAAGUCUGAUGUGAAAGCCCACGGCUCAACCGUGGAGGGUCAUUGGAAACUGGAAAACUUGAGUGCAGAAGAGGAAAGUGGAAUUCCAUGUGUAGCGGUGAAAUGCGCAGAGAUAUAGAGGAACACCAGUGGCGAAGGCGACUUUCUGGUCUGUAACUGACGCUGAUGUGCGAAAGCGGGGGGAUCAAACAGG
RNAcentral lists this ribosomal RNA (429 nucleotides) under Actinomycetes bacterium. RNAcentral describes it as "Actinobacteria bacterium partial 16S ribosomal RNA". It matches the Rfam family "Bacterial small subunit ribosomal RNA", at positions 355 to 776 of the family's 1533-position model. The record is from RNAcentral. Lineage: Bacteria; Bacillati; Actinomycetota; Actinomycetes.